Molecule: ribosomal RNA, 499 nt
Filed under: uncultured bacterium
Lineage: Bacteria
Description: partial 16S ribosomal RNA
Rfam family: Bacterial small subunit ribosomal RNA
Source: RNAcentral
GACGAACGCUGGCGGCGUGCUUAACACAUGCAAGUCGAACGGGCCUGUCUUCUUUUUUGGGGGUGGGUUGAGUGGCGAACGGGUGAGUAUCACGUGAGUAACCUGCCCUUCGGUCCUGGAUAACCGCUUGAAAGGGCGGCUAAUACGGGGUGGUCCGGUUGGUCCGCAUGGGCUGGUCGGGAUAGAUUCACUGUUUUUGGUGUUUCGGCGGGGGAUGGGCUCGCGGCCUAUCAGCUUGUUGGUGGGGUGAUGGCCUACCAAGGCGGUGACGGGUAGCCGGGCUGAGAGGGUGGGCGGCCACACUGGGACUGAGAUACGGCCCAGACUCCUGCGGGAGGCAGCAGUGGGGGGUAUGGCACAAUGGGCGGAAGCCUGAUGCAGCGACGUCGCGUGAGGGAUGGAGGCCUUCGGGUUGUGAACCUCUGUUUCCGGUGGUGAAGGCCCUGUCCGUGUGGUGGGGUUGACGGUAGCCGGGGAUGAAGCGCCGGCUAACUACGUG